RNAcentral lists this ribosomal RNA (253 nucleotides) under uncultured bacterium. Its description in RNAcentral is "partial 16S ribosomal RNA". It matches the Rfam family "Bacterial small subunit ribosomal RNA", at positions 524 to 776 of the family's 1533-position model. The record is from RNAcentral.
UACGUAGGGUGCAAGCGUUGUCCGGAAUUAUUGGGCGUAAGGAGCUCGUAGGCGGUCUGUCGCGUCGGCUGUGAAAACUCGGGGCUCAACUCCGAGCUUGCAGUCGAUACGGGCAGGCUAGAGUUCGGCAGGGGAGACUGGAAUUCCUGGUGUAGCGGUGAAAUGCGCAGAUAUCAGGAGGAACACCGGUGGCGAAGGCGGGUCUCUGGGCCGAUACUGACGCUGAGGAGCGAAAGCGUGGGGAGCGAACAGG